This 21-nucleotide non-coding RNA is filed under the name Caenorhabditis elegans. The record is from RNAcentral. Lineage: Eukaryota; Metazoa; Nematoda; Chromadorea; Rhabditida; Rhabditidae.
UCACACCUCUCCUUAAAAUUG